RNAcentral lists this unclassified non-coding RNA (3222 nucleotides) under Apis dorsata (giant honeybee). RNAcentral's name for it is "uncharacterized LOC102681015, transcript variant X1". Lineage: Eukaryota; Metazoa; Arthropoda; Insecta; Hymenoptera; Apidae. The record is from RNAcentral.
GCAGCGAACAAGAGUGCAUUCAAGUAUGCGAUUGACAGAUGCUCAAAUCUACGAUAUAUUGUAUUUGGAAGAGAUGAAUCGUGUUUGAUAUUUUCAUAUUUUUCUAUGAAGGAUAACUUUUUGUUCCCAUUAUCCUUCACGUAUCACGUGAAAAUUAAAUAUCGAUAUUUGGACGCUUAUAUCGGUUAGAUGACGGCGAUACGCCGUGUGUUAACAGGUCAUGGGGGCCUGUUUCGGCCGCUGUAUUUCCAAAGUUACAGACUCCUUGUCAUACAGGUUUUAUCAAAGACAUACCAGUAUGUCCUACCAAGGAGACGAACAAGUUGAGUUUAUAGAUGACAAAGGAGGUACAGAUCAAUCUAGAGGAUCAAAAACCCUGUUAUCAUUUCUCUCCUUAAACCGAUUUAAGAAAAAAAAUGGAAUCCCUGUAACAUUGGAAUUAUUAGAAGAUGGAGCAUGGUCAAAGGGUAAAACUAAUAAAUAUGCCAGAUUAAACUCUAAGAAUGAUGCUUCUACAAGUUCUGGAUUGGAUACACCAUUACAAAUUCUUGAUGCAAGAACAUUAAUGAAACAACAAGCAUGUGUUUCUUCUACUCCUGGUUCAUCAUUAGAUCUGGAAUGGGAACAUGAAGGAAUGCCUCUACCAAUUAUGGAUGAUGAAAAAGUUGAAAGUACAGAUGGUUCUAUGACACAAACAUCAGUCAAUAAUAGUCAACCCUCUAGCUUGACAGCAUCUCCUUGGUCUAGAGUAUCAACACCAAAUAGUUUAGAAUGGGAUCCGGUAGAAGCGGAUAUGAAAAAACUAGAAUGGAAAAGAAAUGGAUAACCAAGGAAAACGUGAUUAUCGUGCAAGCAAAAAAUGGAUAAGUCGAGUUUUAGUUUAAAAGAGGACAAGCGGAUUUUUGGUUACAUAAUCCUGAAUCACCAUUAUCGUGUCACCCUCGUCGUAACGCAGCUGAAAUGACCAUCACAAUAUCGAACAGCAGUAACAGAUAAUAUACAUUAUGUAUAUUAACUUUACCAAUAGAUCUCCGAUUUUUAUUUUAUUUUCAUCUUCACUUGAUCGUAAUUCUUGCACGCCGCUAUCUAUGUUUGGCUGCCGGAAGUGGCCUUACUCUAUCAUACUUUCCGUUCUUCUAAUAUCUACGGAUCUUUGUAAAUCCAACGUGACUUUCCAUUGCGUGACAAUGGGAGCUUUUCGUCGCGGUAUCCGCCCAUCUUCUCUUUCACUUUUCAUCGAUCCCUAAAGAGAGGAGGGCUGGCCACGAUCGAAGAAAAUGGGGACACGACGAAAAGCGCGGGAACGCUUUAACGAAUGAAGAAGGAGUCGGGGAGGCAUUCAGAACUAAAUACAUAACUAGCACAGGAAGCAAUUAAUUUAAAAAGCAAUGAGAAAACAUUGAUAAAAUCGCUUUUGCAUCAAGAGAGAUGGCUGAGAUUCUUAAAAAACAGCGAAUCUUAAAAAAAAGAAAAGUCGAUAUACUAUAAAACGAAAGUUACAUUGCAAGAAACCGACUGAUUAAAAUUAAUUAAAUAUCUAUACUUUGAUCAGAGCUAUAAUUAUGUAAUGAGGGAUAAGUGGUCUUCGUGUGAAGAGGCCGCAAGAAUCAUAAAGGAAUUAUAGUUUGGCACUGAUACCCGUCAGCUUGAACUUAAUACGUUCGCAGAGCUGGAGAGAACCAGCAUUGGGAAGUCACGUAUUCCUAUUCGAUCCUAUUGCUGAUGGACUUUAUGGCACAUCGAAUAUCUUUCUUAAAACGCUUUGAUUCCGUUUCGAAACUAUGGCGUCUCUUGCCUUAUGUAUCUAGCAUACCUUCAAUGAAAAGAAAAGAAAAAAAAAACAAAAACUACAACAUAACUACGAAACAACACUAACAAUUGUCCAUCAUUCGACUGAUUCGAAAUAUAUCUUUUCAGAGACUACAAAAACUCCACUUCCGGCACCAGGUACAAGCAGCGUGUGGCUGUGGCCCAGACUUACGUCGGAUAGUAGCAAGAACACACAUUAAAAUCAUAGAAGAUCAACGCUAUUAGACGUGUUAUGCAAGUAGCUAUCCGCUUUAUUUUCCCUUUAAUUUUCUACAAACCAUUUCACUUGGUUCAAAGAAUAAAUCAGAUCUGCGGAUGCUCUAAUUGGCAUUUCCAUUCUUUUUCUAGUUUAUCAUUUCUCGUCUCGUUUCUUUUGUCUGGUUCACCGAAUACCCAAUACACAAUAUGAAUACAUAUACACGCGGAUUGGUCGAGCGUUUUCCUUUUCUUGGUCUCUCCUCGAGGUAUCCUUAUUUUGUGUUAUUUUAAAAUGCCUUCCUCUCUUAUCGAGAUUUACGCAUCACACGUCCAAAAGGAGCACACAUGUCAUGGUUUAUCAAUGUAAUAUAUAGUAUGCGUUAUAGAUUCUUCAUUCGCGAACGAGGCCCACGAAGCCUCCGCGAGAUUCCUCUCUGUCUCGUCGAGCGUGCCAUUUUGCCAUCGAUCCCUCUCAUCAUUCUCAUCUCUCUGAAUAAAUACUGGAAAGAUGUAGAACUGUCCAAUGGAUAUCGUACGAGCGAAACGAUCGUCGUCCAUAACGAUAGUUGACGAUCGAUUAUGUAUUAUAGAAUCGGCGAACGAGAUUUUAAAAUACCACCCGGGUAGAUUGGUCGGGAUGUGAAGUUAAAACUCUUGGAAGAUGUUCAGUAAGUAAUUAUAGAUCGAGGUUAAAAUUCUUAGAUUCGAAUAUAAUAUAUAUGCGAAUUCUUUUAGGAUGAAAUUGAACGACUUGUUAGUUUAAAGAGAAUUCUCGAAUGUUUAGAACAUUGAUAGAGAUUCUCUCGGGAAAGGUAAGUUCAUUACGAAUUGAUGGGAGGUAAGAGGGAAGAUUGUUAGGCUGUAUUCCUUGGAAACCUUGGUCCAUGAUCGGCACCAGCUAAUUCUUAGUUGGAAUGAUGAUAUUUCAUUACAUCUUAUUUCUUACUCAUGACUAUAAUACAGGAUCAUCUGAUCCUGAUCUAAAAUAAUUCAAUUAUCUAAACUUAAUUAUUCUUCUUGACUAGGAUUAUUCUAUGAUGGCAUAUUCCCUCGAAAAUCAUUUGAAAUUUCACCAAUGGAAUCAGCUGGUCCAGGAUCAAAAGCUAUCGACAAUUUUUGCUGGAAUACAGGGACGAAUAUAGAACUAUUCGCAUCAUAAAAAAACGAUUUGGAUACGAUGGAUCUCCGAUAAACUCGUUUAAAUUCAUUCCAAAA